Molecule: long non-coding RNA, 282 nt
Organism: Paramacrobiotus metropolitanus
Lineage: Eukaryota; Metazoa; Tardigrada; Eutardigrada; Parachela; Macrobiotidae
Exons: 3
Source: RefSeq, a predicted model, not a curated record
GGAUUAUACCCUUGCAAGAAGUAUGAACUCCGGCAUGCCGUCGUGGCUCAGUAAUCUUGAAUCGAUCGCAGCGGGUUUUCGUGACCUACAUCUUCAGGUGGCACCAGAAACGGCUAAGGAGAACGACAGUGAAGACUCUUUCUGGACAAAUCGCACUGCAGCUGCUGAGUUGAAAAAGCAGCAGGUUGCAGAGCUUGAGGACCAAGAAAGAAGUAUAACGACCACCUCCAUGCCUGACAAAAGCGCAGUAGAGCUGCGAUGCACAGUACGGAAAUGGCAGCG